This 332-nucleotide ribosomal RNA is filed under the name Paenibacillus timonensis. RNAcentral's name for it is "bacterial SSU rRNA". It matches the Rfam family "Bacterial small subunit ribosomal RNA", at positions 1 to 318 of the family's 1533-position model. The record is from RNAcentral. Lineage: Bacteria; Bacillati; Bacillota; Bacilli; Caryophanales; Paenibacillaceae.
UUUAUUGGAGAGUUUGAUCCUGGCUCAGGACGAACGCUGGCGGCGUGCCUAAUACAUGCAAGUCGAGCGGAGUUAAUCGGGAGCUUGCUCCUGAUUAACUUAGCGGCGGACGGGUGAGUAACACGUAGGCAACCUGCCCGUAAGACUGGGAUAACUACCGGAAACGGUAGCUAAUACCGGAUACGCAAGUUUCUCGCAUGGGGAGCUUGGGAAAGGCGGAGCAAUCUGUCACUUACGGAUGGGCCUGCGGCGCAUUAGCUAGUUGGUGGGGUAACGGCUCACCAAGGCGACGAUGCGUAGCCGACCUGAGAGGGUGAACGGCCACACUGGGA